Molecule: long non-coding RNA, 1336 nt
Organism: Amphibalanus amphitrite
Lineage: Eukaryota; Metazoa; Arthropoda; Thecostraca; Balanomorpha; Balanidae
Exons: 2
Source: RefSeq, a predicted model, not a curated record
GGCAAUGCCGGUUUACGAACGGGAGAUGUGAUGAAUUGCGGCAGCAAUACUUGGAAUAUAAUGAAGAAGUGAAGCAAUAAUGAUUAAUGAUACCUAUGAUUUUUUUUUUUAUAAUGACAGAAGGACCGUGGAAGAAAAAACAUUUUGUGCAGCAUGUGAAAACUAAGAAAUAGAAUGAAAGAAGGGCUGCUACUUGUCAAACCAGCCACCUCCAGCUACCCGAAACCAGCCACCUCAUCAUCAUAGCAUGUUGCAUUGGGGCUCUGCUGGAGUUUGCUGAUGACACGAUGCUGAAGGGCUGAAGCUGGCAGCUGUGGCAAGAGUCCAGUGUCCACCAGCUCAAGAUCCGACGCCGCCGCGUCGCCGCCGUGCGGCACUCCGCGGAGACGGGGACGGCGGUCAUGAUUGAAGACACCGCACUAAUUCCCGCCUGGACUGUCCAGUGUCCGGUCGGAGACUGGUAAUCCCUCCGGUGAGCCGCACACCGUGGAGCUAGUUACUGCACCGCGCGUGUCCAACCGCAGCGCAGUGCCUGCAACGGUGCCGUGAGUGCGACAUCUGCGUGCAUAUGUGCAUACGACUCGCGGCUCAGUGUUAACUGUCAGUGUGACAGUGCGGCUCGCGCUCGUUUUAGCGAGGUGCUCUGUUGUAUAUAACCACCUUGAUGGAGAUCUAUGUGCUGCCGCUUGAGUUUCAAUGUACCUACAGUUUUAUACAUCAAACUAGCGUAAAUGGCUGUCAGAGGUCAAUUUGAAGCGCAAUUAGUACCCAUAACCCAGCUGGGUUGAACGAGUCAUGUGACUAGUCCCGAUGAACGUACUGUUUCGAUGUCGUCAGUCGUAGACUUUUGUAAACCAUUCGUUUCUGAGCUCUGUGUUGUGUUGUUCGGGAUCGUAGUUGUUUGAGCAGUUUGCUUUAUGCGUCGUACGCUGACAGAACGCUGGUCCUACACUAGUCAUGUGUUUCCUUUCGCUCCUAAUGGGUUACUGCGGUACCUAUGCAGUUGGAAUGUGUCUCGAGAGUCGAGACACUAACUGGUCGCACUUGGUUGUGAAAAUGACACUAACUGGUCGCACUUGGUUGUGAAAAUGACACUAACUGGUCGCACUUGGUUUCAAGCUGCGCUUGAAAAUUGUGCAAUUUUAUUUGCAUUUUGCAAUGUAAUUUUAUUGCCGUUAUCGUAUUAGUAGAUAGUGUCAAGAGUUGGCCAUUUGAUGCGUUGUCAGAAGCUGUUGCCUUUACUGACAAAUUGAUGGGCCGCGUUUGUGUUACUGUUAAGAAACGGAUCUCAAUAUAAGGUGAUUCAGAGGUAAGGUGAUUUCACCUGAAUGCAUUC